GACGAGCGCUGGCGGCGUGCCUAAUACAUGCAAGUCGAGCGGACGGACGAGAAGCUUGCCUUUCUGUUGUUAGCGGCGGACGGGUGAGUAACACGUGGAUAACCUACCUAUUAGACUGGGAUAACUUCGAGAAACCGGAGCUAAUACCGGAUGACAUUUUGUAUCGCAUGGUUCAUAGGUGAAAGACGGUCUUACUGUCACUUAUAGAUGGAUCCGCGCUGCAUUAGCUAGUUGGUAAGGUAACGGCUUACCAAGGCAACGAUGCAUAGCCGACCUGAGAGGGUGAUCGGCCACACUGGAACUGAGACACGGUCCAGACUCCUACGGGAGGCAGCAGUAGGGAAUCUUCCGCAAUGGGCGAAAGUCUGACGGAGCAACGCCGCGUGAGUGAUGAAGGUCUUCGGAUCGUAAAACUCUGUUAUUAGGGAAGAACAAAUGUGGAAGUAACUGAGGUCAUUAUGACGGUACCUAACGAGAAAGCCACGGCUAACUACGUG
RNAcentral lists this ribosomal RNA (497 nucleotides) under uncultured bacterium. Its description in RNAcentral is "partial 16S ribosomal RNA". It matches the Rfam family "Bacterial small subunit ribosomal RNA", at positions 28 to 507 of the family's 1533-position model. The record is from RNAcentral.